RNAcentral lists this ribosomal RNA (487 nucleotides) under uncultured bacterium. RNAcentral's name for it is "partial 16S ribosomal RNA". It matches the Rfam family "Bacterial small subunit ribosomal RNA", at positions 30 to 507 of the family's 1533-position model. The record is from RNAcentral.
AUUGAACGCUGGCGGCAUGCCUUACACAUGCAAGUCGAACGGCAGCACGGGUGCUUGCACCUGGUGGCGAGUGGCGAACGGGUGAGUAAUACAUCGGAACAUGUCCUGUAGUGGGGGAUAGCCCGGCGAAAGCCGGAUUAAUACCGCAUACGAUCUACGGAUGAAAGCGGGGGACCUUCGGGCCUCGCGCUAUAGGGUUGGCCGAUGGCUGAUUAGCUAGUUGGUGGGGUAAAGGCCUACCAAGGCGACGAUCAGUAGCUGGUCUGAGAGGACGACCAGCCACACUGGGACUGAGACACGGCCCAGACUCCUACGGGAGGCAGCAGUGGGGAAUUUUGGACAAUGGGCGAAAGCCUGAUCCAGCAAUGCCGCGUGGGUGAAGAAGGCCUUCGGGUUGUAAAGCACUUUUGUCCGGAAAGAAAUCCUUGGCCCUAAUACGGUCGGGGGGAUGACGGUACCGGAAGAAUAAGCACCGGCUAACUACGUG